RNAcentral lists this signal recognition particle RNA (86 nucleotides) under Klebsiella pneumoniae. RNAcentral describes it as "partial signal recognition particle sRNA small type". It matches the Rfam family "Bacterial small signal recognition particle RNA", at positions 12 to 97 of the family's 97-position model. Rfam says of the family: The signal recognition particle (SRP) is a universally conserved ribonucleoprotein involved in the co-translational targeting of proteins to membranes. Lineage: Bacteria; Pseudomonadati; Pseudomonadota; Gammaproteobacteria; Enterobacterales; Enterobacteriaceae. The record is from RNAcentral.
CCGCAACGCUACUCUGUUUACCAGGUCAGGUCCGGAAGGAAGCAGCCAGAGCAGACGACGUGUGUGCCGGGAUGUAGCUGGCAGGG